Molecule: long non-coding RNA, 552 nt
Filed under: Musa acuminata (dwarf banana)
Lineage: Eukaryota; Viridiplantae; Streptophyta; Magnoliopsida; Zingiberales; Musaceae
Description: long non-coding RNA (MACU_LNC000437)
Source: RNAcentral
UUUCGUCGUAGAGAUGAAAACUUUACGACGAAAAGUUUAUACAGCAAUAUAGGAACGAUUUUUUUGGAUUUUUGAAUAAGGAUAACUAAAUUGCAGCAGUAGUAAGGUAGGAAACCAGAACCUAUUGCAAUUCAUGGGGAGAUCAAAGGAUGAUCCGCGAUGGUGGAGAUGAUGGCGGAAUUCGGCGACGAUCUUUUAAGCAAUUGUGGGAAUUGCUUUGGGCGGCUGUGGAGGGCUGAUGGAUGGCUGGAUUUUUGAAUAAGGAUAACUAAAUUGUAGUAGCAGUAAGGUAGGAAACCAGAACCUGUUGCAAUUCACGGGGAGAUCAAAGGAUGAUCCGCGAUGGUGGAGAUGACGGUGGAAUUCGGCGACGANNNNNNNNNNNNNNNNNNNNUUUUGAAUAAGGAUAACUAAAUUGUAGUAGCAGUAAGGUAGGAAACCAGAACCUGUUGCAAUUCACGGGGAGAUCAAAGGAUGAUCCGCGAUGGUGGAGAUGACGGUGGAAUUCGGCGACGAUCUUUUAAGCAAUUGUAGGAAUUGCUUUGCGCGGCU